UACGAAGGGUGCGAGCGUUAUUCGGAGCUAUUGGGCGUAAAGAGCGCGUAGGCGGUCAUGUAAGUCAGUUGUUAAAGAACCCAGCUUAACUGGGUAAAGGCGAUUGAAACUGCGUGGCUAGAGGGUGAGAGAGAUAAGCGGAAUUCUCGGAGUAGCGGUAAAAUGCGUAGAUCUCGAGAGGAACACCGGUGGCGAAGGCGGCUUAUGGCUUACAUCUGACGCUAAAGUGCGAAAGCGUGGAGAGCAAACAGG
RNAcentral lists this ribosomal RNA (252 nucleotides) under uncultured bacterium. RNAcentral's name for it is "partial 16S ribosomal RNA". It matches the Rfam family "Bacterial small subunit ribosomal RNA", at positions 524 to 776 of the family's 1533-position model. The record is from RNAcentral.